RNAcentral lists this ribosomal RNA (274 nucleotides) under uncultured bacterium. RNAcentral's name for it is "partial 16S ribosomal RNA". It matches the Rfam family "Bacterial small subunit ribosomal RNA", at positions 523 to 796 of the family's 1533-position model. The record is from RNAcentral.
AUACAGAGGGUGCGAGCGUUAAUCGGAAUUACUGGGCGUAAAGCGCGCGUAGGUGGUUAUGUAAGUUGGAUGUGAAAGCCCCGGGCUUAACCUGGGAAUUGCAUUCAAAACUGCAUGGCUAGAGUCUGAUAGAGGGAAGUGGAAUUUCCGGUGUAGCGGUGAAACGCGUAGAUAUCGGAAGGAACACCAGUGGCGAAGGCGGCUUCCUGGAUCAAGACUGACGCUGAGGUGCGAAAGCGUGGGGAGCAAACAGGAUUAGAAACCCCAGUAGUCC